Molecule: ribosomal RNA, 497 nt
Filed under: uncultured bacterium
Lineage: Bacteria
Description: partial 16S ribosomal RNA
Rfam family: Bacterial small subunit ribosomal RNA
Source: RNAcentral
GACGAACGCUGGCGGCGUGCCUAAUACAUGCAAGUAGAACGCUGAAGCGAGGAGCUUGCUCUUCUUGGGUGAGUUGCGCACGGGUGAGUAACGCGUAGGUAACCUCCCUGGUAGCGGGGGAUAACUAUUGGAAACGAUAGCUAAUACCGCAUAAAAUUGAUUAUUGUAUGAUAAUUAAUUGAAAGAUGCAACUUGAUCACUACCAGAUGGACCUGCGUUGUAUUAGCUAGUUGGUGAGGUAACGGCUCACCAAGGCGACGAUACAUAGCCGACCGGAGAGGGUGAUCAGCCAGACUGGGAGUGAGACAAGGCCCAGACUCCUACAGGAGGCAGCAGGAGGGAAUCGGCGGCAAUGAGUGGAACACUGUGCGAGCAACGCCGCGGGAGGGAAGAGUGUUGUCGGAUCGUAAAGCUCUGUUGUAAGAGAAGAACGGGUGUGAGAGUGGAAAGUUCACACUGUGACGGUAUCUUACCAGAAAGGAACGGCUAACUACGUG